Molecule: ribosomal RNA, 771 nt
Filed under: uncultured bacterium
Lineage: Bacteria
Description: bacterial SSU rRNA
Rfam family: Bacterial small subunit ribosomal RNA
Source: RNAcentral
AGUGAACGCUGGCGGCAGGCCUAACACAUGCAAGUCGAGCGGCAGCGCGGGGCAACCUGGCGGCGAGCGGCGGACGGGUGAGGAAUGCAUCGGAAUCUACCCUGUCGUGGGGGAUAACGUAGGGAAACUUACGCUAAUACCGCAUACGACCGAGAGGUGAAAGUGGGGGACCGCAAGGCCUCACGCGAUUGGAUGAGCCGAUGCCGGAUUAGCUAGUUGGUGGGGUAAAGGCCCACCAAGGCGACGAUCCGUAGCUGGUCUGAGAGGAUGAUCAGCCACACUGGGACUGAGACACGGCCCAGACUCCUACGGGAGGCAGCAGUGGGGAAUAUUGGACAAUGGGCGCAAGCCUGAUCCAGCCAUGCCGCGUGUGUGAAGAAGGCCUUCGGGUUGUAAAGCACUUUUGUUUGGGAAGAAAUCGUGCGGAUUAAUACUUCGUACGGAUGACGGUACCGAAAGAAUAAGCACCGGCUAACUUCGUGCCAGCAGCCGCGGUAAUACGAAGGGUGCAAGCGUUACUCGGAAUCACUGGGCGUAAAGCGUGCGUAGGCGGCUGGUUAAGUCUGCUGUGAAAGCCCUGGGCUCAACCUGGGGAACUGCAGUGGAUACUGGCUAGCUAGAGUGUGAUAGAGGAUGGUGGAAUUCCCGGUGUAGCGGUGAAAUGCGUAGAGAUCGGGAGGAACACCAGUGGCGAAGGCGGCCAUCUGGAUCAACACUGACGCUGAGGCACGAAAAGCGUGGGGGAGCAAACAGGAUUAGAUACCCUGGUAG